AACCUCUGCAAUAGGCGAAAGCUUGACAGGGUUACUCUGAGUGAUUUCCGUUAAGGAGAUCUUUUGGCACCUCUAAAAAUGGUGCAGAAUAAGGGGUGGGCAAGUCUGGUGUCAGCCGCCGCGGUAAUACCAGCACCCCGAGUGGUCGGGACGUUUAUUGGGCCUAAAGCAUCCGUAGCCGGUUCUACAAGUCUUCCGUUAAAUCCACCUGCUUAACAGA
This 220-nucleotide ribosomal RNA is filed under the name uncultured crenarchaeote. Its description in RNAcentral is "partial 16S ribosomal RNA". It matches the Rfam family "Archaeal small subunit ribosomal RNA", at positions 345 to 566 of the family's 1478-position model. Lineage: Archaea; Thermoproteati; Thermoproteota. The record is from RNAcentral.